This 497-nucleotide ribosomal RNA is filed under the name uncultured bacterium. RNAcentral's name for it is "partial 16S ribosomal RNA". It matches the Rfam family "Bacterial small subunit ribosomal RNA", at positions 28 to 507 of the family's 1533-position model. The record is from RNAcentral.
GAUGAACGCUGGCGGCGUGCCUAAUACAUGCAAGUCGAGCGAACAGACGAGGAGCUUGCUCCUCUGACGUUAGCGGCGGACGGGUGAGUAACACGUGGAUAACCUACCUAUAAGACUGGGAUAACUUCGGGAAACCGGAGCUAAUACCGGAUAAUAUAUUGAACCGCAUGGUUCAAUAGUGAAAGACGGUUUUGCUGUCACUUAUAGAUGGAUCCGCGCCGCAUUAGCUAGUUGGUAAGGUAACGGCUUACCAAGGCAACGAUGCGUAGCCGACCUGAGAGGGUGAUCGGCCACACUGGAACUGAGCCACGGUCCAGACUCCUACGGGAGGCAGCAGUAGGGAAUCUUCCGCAAAGGGCGAAAGCCUGACGGAGCAACGCCGCGUGAGUGAUGAAGGUCUUCGGAUCGUAAAACUCUUUUAUUAGGGAAGAACAAAUGUGUAAGUAACUAUGCACGUCUUGACGGUACCUAAUCAGAAAGCCACGGCUAACUACGUG